CUGGGCGUAAAGCGCGCGUAGGUGGCUUGAUAAGCCGGUUGUGAAAGCCCCGGGCUCAACCUGGGAACGGCAUCCGGAACUGUCAAGCUAGAGUGCAGGAGAGGAAGGUAGAAUUCCCGGUGUAGCGGUGAAAUGCGUAGAGAUCGGGAGGAAUACCAGUGGCGAAGGCGGCCUUCUGGACUGACACUGACACUGAGGUGCGAAAGCGUGGGUAGCAAACAGGAUUAGAUACCCUGGUAGUCCACGCCGUAAACGAUGUCGACCAGCCGUUGGGUGCCUAGCGCACUUUGUGGCGAAGUUAACGCGAUAAGUCGACCGCCUGGGGAGUACGGCCGCAAGGUUAAAACUCAAAUGAAUUGACGGGGGCCCGCACAAGCGGUGGAGCAUGUGGUUUAAUUCGAUGCAACGCGAAGAACCUUACCUACUCUUGACAUCCUGCGAAUUUGGUAGAGAUACCUUAGUGCCUUCGGGAACGCAGAGACAGGUGCUGCAUGGCUGUCGUCAGCUCGUGUUGUGAAAUGUUGGGUUAAGUCCCGUAACGAGCGCAACCCUUGUCCUUAUUUGCCAGCGCGUAAUGGCGGGAACUCUAAGGAGACUGCCGGUGACAAACCGGAGGAAGGUGGGGACGACGUCAAGUCAUCAUGGCCCUUACGAGUAGGGCUACACACGUGCUACAAUGGUCGGUACAAAGGGUUGCCAACUCGCGAGAGUGAGCCAAUCCCGAAAAGCCGAUCUCAGUCCGGAUCGGAGUCUGCAACUCGACUCCGUGAAGUCGGAAUCGCUAGUAAUCGUGGAUCAGAAUGCCACGGUGAAUACGUUCCCGGGCCUUGUACACACCGCCCGUCACACCAUGGGAGUGGACUGCACCAGAA
Molecule: ribosomal RNA, 872 nt
Filed under: Halomonas sp.
Lineage: Bacteria; Pseudomonadati; Pseudomonadota; Gammaproteobacteria; Oceanospirillales; Halomonadaceae
Description: bacterial SSU rRNA
Rfam family: Bacterial small subunit ribosomal RNA
Source: RNAcentral